RNAcentral lists this long non-coding RNA (278 nucleotides) under Olea europaea (common olive). RNAcentral describes it as "long non-coding RNA (OEUR_LNC003627)". Lineage: Eukaryota; Viridiplantae; Streptophyta; Magnoliopsida; Lamiales; Oleaceae. The record is from RNAcentral.
AAUAAAGAAACAGACAGACAAACAAAGCAAAUAUUGCCAGUCUAAGCUAUAGUAUUAAAUGUGUUGGUAUAAUUUGGAUGUACAACGGCAGAAGGAUUUCUUGAAAGGAGAAAAAGAGGAAAGAAUACUAUUUCCUGAUGGCGUUUAAUGUUGGCUGAUGUGAUUUGAAAUCUCUCAAAAUCAUCAUCAUUUUCAUAUAUAAUAAAAGAGAAAAUUCAAAGGUCAAAAGCAAACUCCGUAAUUGAAUAGAGAGAUGAGAGGUGAAGAUUACAAGAAAU